Long non-coding RNA from Clupea harengus (Atlantic herring), 1387 nucleotides. The record is from Ensembl. Lineage: Eukaryota; Metazoa; Chordata; Actinopteri; Clupeiformes; Clupeidae.
UAAAUACAUACACACACACACACAAAAGGUCAACAUGGAUGUAAAAACAGAUCUCACACACUCUCUCUCUCUUACACACUCACACACUCACACACUCUCUCUCUCUUACACACACACACACACACUCACCCAGUGUUUGCAGUGUUUACACACUCUCACACUCCAUCACACAGUCACCACCCCAACAGUGAUCUUUGAUGAGCGUGUGUGUUGUAGCCCCCCCACACACACACCCUAAAGCUUUAACCCCCUCCACACACACACACACAUCCUAAAGCUCUGUGUGUGUGUCUGUCUGUGUGUGUGUGUGUGUGUGUGUGUGUGAACGUGUGUAUGGUGUGUGUCUCUGUGUGUAUAGUGUGUGUUUGUCUGUGUGUCUCUGUGUGUGAAGGUGUGUAUGAUGUGUGUCUGUCUAUGUGUGAAGGUGUGUAUGGUGUGUGUAUGUAUGGUGUGUGCGUGCGUGUGUGUGUGUGUGUGUGUGUGUGUAUGGUGUGUGCGUGUGUGUGUAUGGUGUGUGUGUGUGUGUGUGGUGUGUGUGUGUGUGUGUGUGUGUGUGUGUGUGUGUGUGUGUGUGAAGGUAUGUGCUGAGCACACGGCUCUGUCACCUGGGGCACAGCUGAUCUCCUCAAGAACUCUUCAACCCUCCGCCUCAAGUUGAACCCCUCAUCCCUCUCUCUCUCUCUCCUCUCCCUCUCUCUUUCCUCUCUCUCUCCCUCUCUCCCUCUCUCUCUUUCCUCUCUCUCUCUCUUUCCUCUCCCUCUCUCUUUCUCUCUCUCUCCUCUCCCUCUCUCUUUCUCUCUCUCACUCCUCUCUCUCUCUCUUUCUCUCUCUCACUCCUCUCUCUCUCUCCCUCCCUCUCCAUCUCUCUCUCUAUCUCUCUCUCUAUCUCCCUCUCUCUCCUCUCCCUUUCUCUUUCUCUCUCUCUCUCUCUCUCUCCCUCUCUCCUCUCCCUCUCUCUCUCCCUCUCUCUCACUCCCUCCCUCUCUCUCUCUCUCUCUCCUCUCCCUCUCUCUCUCUCUAUCUCUCUCUAUAUAUCUAUCUCUCUCACUCCCUUCCUCUUUCUCUCUCCCUAUCUCUCUCUCUCUCUAUCUCACUCCCUCCCUCUCCAUCUCUCUCUCUAUCUCUCCCUCUCUCUCUCUAUAUAUAUCUCUCUCUCACUCCCUUCCUCUUUCUCUCUCCCUAUCUCUCCCUCUCUCUCUCCUCUCCCUCUCUCUCUAUCUCUAUCUCCCUCUCUCUAUCUCCCUCUUUCUCUCUCUCUCUCUGCCUCUUGUGUGUGACAGUGUGGCCAAAGCAAUGCGAUGAACCUACAAUACAACAACAUGUAAUACAGAAACAUAAUUCACAUGGAACAGUGGAAUUGAUAUUAAUAUUAUGUAACAACAACAAC